GCCAGCAGCCGCGGUAAUACGUAGGGCGCAAGCGUUGUCCGGAAUUAUUGGGCGUAAAGAGCUCGUAGGCGGUCUGUCGCGUCUGGUGUGAAAACCCGAGGCUCAACCUCGGGCUUGCAUCGGGUACGGGCAGACUAGAGUGCGGUAGGGGAGACUGGAAUUCCUGGUGUAGCGGUGGAAUGCGCAGAUAUCAGGAGGAACACCGAUGGCGAAGGCAGGUCUCUGGGCCGCAACUGACGCUGAGGAGCGAAAGCAUGGGGAGCGAACAGGAUUAGAUACCCUGGUAGUCCAUGCCGUAAACGUUGGGCACUAGGUGUGGGGCUCAUUCCACGAGUUCCGUGCCGCAGCUAACGCAUUAAGUGCCCCGC
RNAcentral lists this ribosomal RNA (368 nucleotides) under Isoptericola variabilis. RNAcentral describes it as "bacterial SSU rRNA". It matches the Rfam family "Bacterial small subunit ribosomal RNA", at positions 507 to 872 of the family's 1533-position model. The record is from RNAcentral. Lineage: Bacteria; Bacillati; Actinomycetota; Actinomycetes; Micrococcales; Promicromonosporaceae.